CGGUCGACGCUCUCUCCCAUUGAAGCUUAUGACGCUGUUUGCUCUUCUCAGUAGCUCACAACUUUUCUUCCCUCCUUCUCCAGCUUGCAGUGGUCUCUCCGUUCUUCUCCACCUACGCAGAGUAACAAGGCUUCUCUGAAGUAGCCAAAAGUGUUUUUAAGCUGCUUCAGCAUUGAAGCUCGAAGAAAUCUGGGAAGGGAAAUGGGCCUGGAAAAGGAGGUAAUGGCUUUUGGAAGUCUAUUGGACUUGGAUUCAAGACACCCAGGGAAUCUAUUAUUAAAGUUGCAAAUCUGUUUUGGUGACGGAGCAAAUGUUGAGUGAAUGAGAUUAUUGUUUCUAGACAAUAAACAUAUCUACUUACUCUAGCCAUGAGAAUGUGAAUAGGAAAGAGCACAUUACUCAGCCACCUGAAGGAGUUUAAUAUCCCAAGAAGGUACUUCAGUUUUCUCUUUGCAUCUCAUGUUAUUUACUUUCCAAUUCAGAUUUAUUGAAUUAAGACAUGUUUGA
Long non-coding RNA from Neltuma alba, 507 nucleotides. RefSeq lists it as uncharacterized. NCBI's taxonomy places the organism in Eukaryota, Viridiplantae, Streptophyta, Magnoliopsida, Fabales, Fabaceae. The record is from RefSeq and is a predicted model, not a curated record. The transcript is spliced from 4 exons.